Molecule: ribosomal RNA, 462 nt
Filed under: uncultured bacterium
Lineage: Bacteria
Description: bacterial SSU rRNA
Rfam family: Bacterial small subunit ribosomal RNA
Source: RNAcentral
AUUGAACGCUGGCGGCAUGCCUUACACAUGCAAGUCGAACGGCAGCACGGGAGCAAUCCUGCUGACGAGUGGCGAACGGGUGAGUAAUACAUCGGAACGUGCCCGAUCGUGGGGGAUAACGCAGCGAAAGCUGUGCUAAUACCGCAUACGAUCUACGGAUGAAAGCGGGGGAUCGCAAGACCUCGCGCGGACGGAGCGGCCGAUGGCAGAUUAGGUAGUUGGUGGGAUAAAAGCUUACCAAGCCGACGAUCUGUAGCUGGUCUGAGAGGACGACCAGCCACACUGGGACUGAGACACGGCCCAGACUCCUACGGGAGGCAGCAGUGGGGAAUUUUGGACAAUGGGGGAAACCCUGACCCAGCAACGCCGCGUGAAGGAAGAAGGCUUCGGGUUGUAAACUUCUUUACCUAGGGACGAAGGACGUGACGGUACCUAGGAGAAAAGCCAACGGCUAACUACGUG